GACGAACGCUGGCGGCGUGCUUAACACAUGCAAGUCGAACGGAAAGGCCCUGCUUUUGUGGGGUGCUCGAGUGGCGAACGGGUGAGUAACACGUGAGUAACCUGCCCUUGACUUUGGGAUAACUUCAGGAAACUGGGGCUAAUACCGGAUAGGAGCUCCUGCUGCAUGGUGGGGGUUGGAAAGUUUCGGCGGUUGGGGAUGGACUCGCGGCUUAUCAGCUUGUUGGUGGGGUAGUGGCUUACCAAGGCUUUGACGGGUAGCCGGCCUGAGAGGGUGACCGGCAAAAUGGGGACGAGGAUCCGGCCCAGAUGCCUACGGGAGGAAGAAGGGGGGAAUAUUGCACAAGGGGCGGAAGCUGGAUGAGGCAACGCGGGGGGCGGGAGGAGGGCCUUCGGGUUGUAAACGCCUUCCGCUUGUGACGAAGGGUGAGGGACGGUAAUGGGAAAGGAAGAACCGGCUAACUACGU
Molecule: ribosomal RNA, 467 nt
Filed under: uncultured bacterium
Lineage: Bacteria
Description: partial 16S ribosomal RNA
Rfam family: Bacterial small subunit ribosomal RNA
Source: RNAcentral